Molecule: ribosomal RNA, 174 nt
Filed under: uncultured Arthrobacter sp.
Lineage: Bacteria; Bacillati; Actinomycetota; Actinomycetes; Micrococcales; Micrococcaceae
Description: partial 16S ribosomal RNA
Rfam family: Bacterial small subunit ribosomal RNA
Source: RNAcentral
UUCUACGGGGGGCAGCAGUGGGGAAUAUUGCACAAUGGGCGAAAGCUGAUGCAGCGACGCCGCGUGAGGGAUGACGGCCUUCGGGUUGUAAACCUCUUUCAGUAGGGAAGAAGCGAAAGUGACGGUACCUGCAGAAGAAGCGCCGGCUAACUACGUGCCAGCAGCCGCGGUAAU